Molecule: long non-coding RNA, 275 nt
Organism: Periophthalmus magnuspinnatus
Lineage: Eukaryota; Metazoa; Chordata; Actinopteri; Gobiiformes; Gobiidae
Exons: 3
Source: RefSeq, a predicted model, not a curated record
CGCUGAGAGCGGAGCCGCGCCGCUGUCACAGUACAGCCAGUGCCAGACAUGGCGGCGGAGCUACAGCCCGAGUGGAUAUCGUGUCUGCCGUCUACAUGGAGUUACGGGGUCACUCGGGAUGGACGCGUCUUCUUCGUCAACGAAGAAGCCAAGAGUACAACCUGGCUGCAUCCCGUGAGCGGCGAGGCGCUGAUCACCGGCCACAGGAAAACUCCAGAUCUACCCACGGGAUGGGAAGAAGGAUACACGUUUGAGGGGGCACGGUGCUUCAUCAA